UACGUAGGGACCAAGCGUUGUUCGGAUUUACUGGGCGUAAAGGGCGCGUAGGCGGCAUAUUAAGUCAGCUGUGAAAUCUCCGAGCUUAACUCGGAACUGUCAGCUGAUACUGAUCUGCUAGAGUGCGGAAGGGGCAAUCGGAAUUCUUGGUGUAGCGGUGAAAUGCGUAGAUAUCAAGAGGAACACCUGAGGUGAAGACGGGUUGCUGGGCCGACACUGACGCUGAGUGCGCGAAAGCCAGGGGAGCAAACGGG
This 254-nucleotide ribosomal RNA is filed under the name uncultured bacterium. RNAcentral describes it as "partial 16S ribosomal RNA". It matches the Rfam family "Bacterial small subunit ribosomal RNA", at positions 524 to 776 of the family's 1533-position model. The record is from RNAcentral.